Non-coding RNA from Delphinapterus leucas (beluga whale), 2146 nucleotides. NCBI's taxonomy places the organism in Eukaryota, Metazoa, Chordata, Mammalia, Artiodactyla, Monodontidae. The record is from RefSeq and is a predicted model, not a curated record.
CAUUAAUUUCUGUCCGAAAUUUCUUAUCUGUUCAGCAUUCAUUACUGUCAUGACUUUGGAGUUUUCCACCAUUCCUCACAGCUUCUUUGAUAAUCAUACUUCAUUCUUGAAGUCAUACUGUUGGACGAGAACUGUCUACAGGAAAUCUAGCCCAGUAUGACCCUUUGGUCUCACAAUGUCAUGUUGGAAUAGCCUUGAUUAUUUUUUAAAAAUAAAAAUGAUGCAAUCAUGAAAUGUUAGAGCUAAAAGGAACUUUAGAAGUAAUUUAAUAUGAUUUUCAUUUUAUGAGUGAAGCCACCUGCUGCUCUGAGUCACACGCCGGGUGACCGGCCGAUCCAGGAUCAAAACUCAGACCCGCGUAUUCGGCAGCUUGUUCUAAAGACCAUCGAAGAAAAUGAUGAUCUCCAUUGGUUGCAUCUGUAUUUUUGGAUUGAACACUUACUUACGUUCAUAAUUGUAUUGCCGGUCGUUUGUAUUCUUUGGGGAAUGAUUCCACAUGGAUUUGAUGUCUCUAGUUCUCUGUCUCUCUCUGCCUGCUUCAUUCUCUCGGUUUCCUCUUGAGGAUUCUACUUCUCAAGCUGAACAUCUUUUAUGUUGAUGAGUCUUGGUGGUGCAGCUUUAUUGGCACAGGGUCCAGAGACUAAUCCAUAAAACACAGUUUAAAAAGCCUCUAAAGUGUGAAAUAUUAGCUUGUCAUUUUUUUCUCAAGUUUUCUCUUUUGACAAGCUUCGUUGAAUUUUCUUUUUCUUUUUUUCAUAUGUGUUCUGCCAUCCUAAUUCUGAAAGAAUUUAUAGAUAUAUCAUUUGGGAAAAGAUGUAUUUUAACUGACAACAUAAAUAUCUUGGUUUCGCAGUUAUCUGGUCAAAGAUUUUAAAUUGCAAACCGUGAAAAUUCGUUCUUUACAAUAUAGCAUAAAUUACAUUUAGUGCUUUCAGUAAAAACAUUUCAGUAAAAUUUUGACACGAACAGUGUCACAUUAAAAAAAAAAUCUCAAUGUCAGCUCAUAUGCUCAUGAAAUAUUUAAUAGAAACAUUGCAGGUUAAUUUUGUCUUCUUUAAUAAUAAAAUAUAAGUUUGCAAAGAGUUUUGACUCAGCUUACUCAUUGUCUUGCAAUUACUAAUACAAAUGAGAAUUUUUAAUGAGAUAAGAAUUUCAUUUCUCCGUGUAAAACAACAACGAAGUGCAGAGAUUUAAUGCUUACCUUUACUCUCAGGGGCACCUCAUUUUCUCCACUGUAGUAGAUCUUAAUUCCAGAUGUUAGCACACGACAUUCGUGUAGUGUUCCAAUCACAUGUCUGUUUGUUUAAUAUUCGCUCUGUGACCUGACGCGCUCUGUAGUAUCAUGAUUUCUCGGUUAUGCAGAUUUUGUUGCUGUUAUUGACUUCUUAUUUGCAGUCUUCCAUCUGUGUUAAACUAAAGACAUAUGUUGUGUUGUCACCUGUCAAAUCCCUUAUGAAUAGUCUGUACUUUACUUAAAUUGUAUUGUGAUUUUAGACCUUUAUGAACAGAGCUUCAUAAAAUUAAGUAAGAUAGUUUGUUGUGUAUACAGAUAUGUUCAUGAACCAUCGCUAUAAUGAUGAAAAUAUUGAUUGUUGGAACAAUUAAGACAUUAAGAAAACACAUAUUUAAAUGUGGCUAAUGUCUGAAAAUUUGUGAGUUGUUUAUCUCUUAGAAAUUUGUGAUAAAUCUAAAAGAUAACUAAGGAUUUCACUAUAUUGAAAAAUUUAUAGAUAUGUAUUUAUUUAACCCAGUUUUAAUUAUAUAAUUAUUGUAUGAUUUAAGCCUCAUUGAUCUUAUGUGUGUGAUCAGUAUAUUGAAAUGUAAAGCAUUCUAAAUACUAGCACAGGAUAUUUUUUCUUCAUGAGAAGAAAUAGAAGGAAUUAGACUAGCCAGAGCCUUUUUAGUCUUGCAAAGCAAAACUCAUGAAUGAAACGUGCAGCUUCUCUGGGCCUCAGUUUCCACAUCUGUAAAAUGGGGGGUGAGGCUUUGGGAAGGAAGGGUUAGGUCAGCUGCUCUCUGAGAUCUCUUCCACCCUAAAAUUCAAUGAUGAUAUGAUUUGUUUUUUGCAGUAGUGUUAUGCUUAUCAAUGUAAAUUGUAUGUCUUGUCUAAUGUAAACAUAAGUGUAAUAAAAGCUAAGGAUGAAAA